AGUAUUAUAAAUGAGUAUGACUGUAUUGAAUUGUGUUAUAUUUUUUUUAAACUGACAAAAAUAAUCAUAAAAACAUAUUUGUUAUUUGAAACACAACCUACCCAAUCCAUAAAUGAAAGGGUCAGUUCGGAUCGAUUUCGACAAUGAAAUUGCGGGUUGGACAAAAAACGCAACUCAUUAAAGUUUGAAUGGGUUGGGUAACGGGUUAGGGCAAACCCAGUCCAACCCAAUUCGUGUACAAUCCUAC
Molecule: long non-coding RNA, 247 nt
Filed under: Lathyrus oleraceus (garden pea)
Lineage: Eukaryota; Viridiplantae; Streptophyta; Magnoliopsida; Fabales; Fabaceae
Description: Pisum sativum (pea) long non-coding RNA (PSAT_LNC021172)
Source: RNAcentral